AACGGAAAGGCCCUGCUUGCAGGGUACUCGAGUGGCGAACGGGUGAGUAACACGUGGGUGAUCUGCCCUGCACUUCGGGAUAAGCUUGGGAAACUGGGUCUAAUACCGGAUAGGAGCCAUCUUUAGUGUGGUGGUUGGAAAGUUUUUUCGGUGUAGGAUGAGCUCGCGGCCUAUCAGCUUGUUGGUGGGGUAAUGGCCUACCAAGGCGGCGACGGGUAGCCGGCCUGAGAGGGUGUACGGCCACAUUGGGACUGAGAUACGGCCCAGACUCCUACGGGAGGCAGCAGUGGGGAAUAUUGCACAAUGGGCGCAAGCCUGAUGCAGCGACGCCGCGUGGGGGAUGAAGGCCUUCGGGUUGUAAACUCCUUUCGCUAGGGACGAAACUUUUUUGUGACGGUACCUAGAUAAGAAGCACCGGCUAACUACGUGCCAGCAGCCGCGGUAAUACGUAGGGUGCGAGCGUUGUCCGGAAUUACUGGGCGUAAAGGGCUCGUAGGUGGUUUGUCGCGUCGUCUGUGAAAUUCUGGGGCUUAACUCCGGGCGUGCAGGCGAUACGGGCAUAACUUAAGUGCUGUAGGGGUAACUGGAAUUCCUGGUGUAGCGGUGAAAUGCGCAGAUAUCAGGAGGAACACCGAUGGCGAAGGCAGGUUACUGGGCAGUUACUGACGCUGAGGAGCGAAAGCAUGGGUAGCGAACAGGAUUAGAUACCCUGGU
Molecule: ribosomal RNA, 714 nt
Filed under: uncultured Corynebacterium sp.
Lineage: Bacteria; Bacillati; Actinomycetota; Actinomycetes; Mycobacteriales; Corynebacteriaceae
Description: bacterial SSU rRNA
Rfam family: Bacterial small subunit ribosomal RNA
Source: RNAcentral